Molecule: transfer RNA, 76 nt
Filed under: Chloroflexota bacterium
Lineage: Bacteria; Bacillati; Chloroflexota
Description: Chloroflexi bacterium (freshwater metagenome) tRNA-Lys
Rfam family: tRNA
About the family: Transfer RNA (tRNA) molecules are approximately 80 nucleotides in length.
Source: RNAcentral
GGGCCACUAGCUCAACUGGCAGAGCAGCUGACUCUUAAUCAGUUGGUUGUAGGUUCGAGUCCUACGUGGCUCACUA